This 2493-nucleotide ribosomal RNA is filed under the name Arthrobacter sp. ov407. Its description in RNAcentral is "bacterial LSU rRNA". It matches the Rfam family "Bacterial large subunit ribosomal RNA", at positions 592 to 2925 of the family's 2925-position model. The record is from RNAcentral. Lineage: Bacteria; Bacillati; Actinomycetota; Actinomycetes; Micrococcales; Micrococcaceae.
GGUGACGGCGUGCCUUUUGAAGAAUGAGCCUGCGAGUUAGUGUUACGUCGCGAGGUUAACCCGUGUGGGGAAGCCGUAGCGAAAGCGAGUCUGAAUAGGGCGUUGCAGUGGCGUGAUCUAGACCCGAAGCGAAGUGAUCUACCCAUGGCCAGGUUGAAGCGACGGUAAGACGUCGUGGAGGACCGAACCCACUUCAGUUGAAAAUGGAGGGGAUGAGCUGUGGGUAGGGGUGAAAGGCCAAUCAAACUUCGUGAUAGCUGGUUCUCCCCGAAAUGCAUUUAGGUGCAGCGUUGCGUGUUUCUUACCGGAGGUAGAGCUACUGGAUGGCUAAUGGGCCCUACAAGGUUACUGACGUCAGCCAAACUCCGAAUGCCGGUAAGUGAGAGCGCAGCAGUGAGACUGUGGGGGAUAAGCUUCAUAGUCGAGAGGGAAACAGCCCAGACCACCAACUAAGGCCCCUAAGCGUGUGCUAAGUGGGAAAGGAUGUGGAGUUGCGAAGACAACCAGGAGGUUGGCUUAGAAGCAGCCAUCCUUAAAAGAGUGCGUAAUAGCUCACUGGUCAAGUGAUUCCGCGCCGACAAUGUAGCGGGGCUCAAGUACACCGCCGAAGUUGUGGAUUUCAGAUAUUAGCUAAGCCGCCCCUUGUGGGUUGGUUCAGGCGUCUGGAGUGGUAGGGGAGCGUCGUGUGGGCAGUGAAGUCGCGGUGGAAACCAGCGGUGGAGCCUACACGAGUGAGAAUGCAGGCAUGAGUAGCGAAAGACGGGUGAGAAACCCGUCCGCCGGAUGAUCAAGGGUUCCAGGGUCAAGCUAAUCUGCCCUGGGUAAGUCGGGACCUAAGGCGAGGCCGACAGGCGUAGUCGAUGGACAACGGGUUGAUAUUCCCGUACCGGCGAAAAACCGCCCAUGCUGAACAGGGGACACUAACCGCCCGAAACCUGCCUGACAUCCCUUCGGGGGUGAAGGGUUUUGGUGGAGCGCGGGACCUGAUCCUGGGAGGCAAGCGUAUUAACAGGUGUGACGCAGGAAGGUAGCCGAGCCGGGCGAUGGUUGUCCCGGUCUAAGGAUGUAGGGCGAACGGUAGGCAAAUCCGCCGUUCAUGAUGCCUGAGAUCUGACGGGACCCCCGUAUGGGGGGAUUCGGUGAUCCUAUGCUGCCGAGAAAAGCAUCGACGCGAGGUUUUAGCCGCCCGUACCCCAAACCGACACAGGUGAUCAGGUAGAGAAUACUAAGGCGAUCGAGAGAAUUAUGGUUAAGGAACUCGGCAAAAUGCCCCCGUAACUUCGGGAGAAGGGGGGCCCCAACCUUGAACACCACUUGCUGGUGGGAGGGGAUCGGGGCCGCAGAGACCAGGGGGAAGCGACUGUUUACUAAAAACACAGGUCCGUGCGAAGUCGCAAGACGAUGUAUACGGACUGACUCCUGCCCGGUGCUGGAAGGUUAAGAGGACCGGUUAGCCGCAAGGCGAAGCUGAGAAUUUAAGCCCCAGUAAACGGCGGUGGUAACUAUAACCAUCCUAAGGUAGCGAAAUUCCUUGUCGGGUAAGUUCCGACCUGCACGAAUGGAGUAACGACUUCCCCGCUGUCUCAACCAUAAACUCGGCGAAAUUGCAGUACGAGUAAAGAUGCUCGUUACGCGCAGCAGGACGGAAAGACCCCGAGACCUUUACUAUAGUUUGGUAUUGGUGUUCGGAGUGGCUUGUGUAGGAUAGGUGGGAGACGUUGAAGCCCGGACGCCAGUUCGGGUGGAGUCAUCGUUGAAAUACCACUCUGGUCACUUUGGACAUCUAACUUCGGCCCGUAAUCCGGGUCAGGGACAGUGCCUGAUGGGUAGUUUAACUGGGGCGGUUGCCUCCUAAAAAGUAACGGAGGCGCCCAAAGGUUCCCUCAGCCUGGUUGGCAAUCAGGUGUCGAGUGUAAGUGCACAAGGGAGCUUGACUGUGAGAGAGACAUCUCGAGCAGGGACGAAAGUCGGGACUAGUGAUCCGGCGGUACAUUGUGGAAUGGCCGUCGCUCAACGGAUAAAAGGUACCUCGGGGAUAACAGGCUGAUCUUGCCCAAGAGUCCAUAUCGACGGCAUGGUUUGGCACCUCGAUGUCGGCUCGUCGCAUCCUGGGGCUGGAGUAGGUCCCAAGGGUUGGGCUGUUCGCCCAUUAAAGCGGUACGCGAGCUGGGUUUAGAACGUCGUGAGACAGUUCGGUCCCUAUCCGCUGCGCGCGCAGGAAAUUUGAGAAGGGCUGUCCUUAGUACGAGAGGACCGGGACGGACGAACCUCUGGUGUGUCAGUUGUACUGCCAAGUGCACCGCUGAUUAGCUACGUUCGGAUGGGAUAACCGCUGAAAGCAUCUAAGCGGGAAGCUCGCUUCGAGAUGAGAUUUCCAUACACCUUGUGUGUGAGAGGCCCCCAGCCAGACCACUGGGUUGAUAGGCCGGAUGUGGAAGCGAGGACUAACGACUCGUGAAGCUGACCGGUACUAAUAGGCCGAUAACUUACACC